GCGCCCGUAGCUCAGUGGAUAGAGCGGCGGACUCCGGAUCCGCAGGUCGAAGGUUCAAAUCCUUUCGGGCGCG
Molecule: transfer RNA, 73 nt
Filed under: Caldifarciminota bacterium
Lineage: Bacteria; Pseudomonadati; Caldifarciminota
Also listed under: 1 other name
Description: tRNA-Arg
Rfam family: tRNA
About the family: Transfer RNA (tRNA) molecules are approximately 80 nucleotides in length. Their secondary structure includes four short double-helical elements and three loops (D, anti-codon, and T loops).
Source: RNAcentral